RNAcentral lists this ribosomal RNA (433 nucleotides) under uncultured bacterium. RNAcentral describes it as "partial 16S ribosomal RNA". It matches the Rfam family "Bacterial small subunit ribosomal RNA", at positions 29 to 507 of the family's 1533-position model. The record is from RNAcentral.
AACGAACGCUGGCGGCAUGCCUAACACAUGCAAGUCGAACGAGACCUUCGGGUCUAGUGGCGCACGGGUGCGUAACGCGUGGGAACCUGCCCUUAGGUUCGGAAUAACUCCCCGAAAGGGGUGCUAAUACCGGAUAAUGUCUUCGGACCAAAGAUUUAUCGCCUUUGGAUGGGCCCGCGUUGGAUUAGCUAGUUGGUAGGGUAAAAGCCUACCAAGGCGACGAUCCAUAGCUGGUCUGAGAGGAUGAUCAGCCACACUGGGACUGAGACACGGCCCAGACUCCUACGGGAGGCAGCAGUGGGGAAUAUUGGACAAUGGGCGAAAGCCUGAUCCAGCAGUGCCGCGUGAGUGAUGAGGGCCUUAGGGUUGUAAAGCUCUUUUACCCGGGAUGAUAAUGACAGUGCCGGGAGAAUAAGAUCCGGCUAACUCCGUG